AGACAUUUAAAGUCCUUCAUAUCUUUGCAUCAAUUAUAGAAAUUUAAAAUGAAUAUGAAUUUACUUGCCUGUGUUAGCAAUGUAAAUUCUCUGUGUCCUAGUGAGAGUUCAGUUGUUGUCAUCUCUCAAGACUGGAGUUUCCAGAAGUGGUAAAACACAAAGAAAAGAAGAUAGUCUGAAAGAAGUCAGGAAGCCACUGUGGUGGCUUUUGGGUAUUCUAGAACUUUCUAGAGAUGGAGUUCUGCUUUAUGAGGAAGGCGGGACUUAUCUCUCUGGCUUCUCCAAGAAUCAUCAGGCAGGGUGAAAAUGGUCCAGGCCAGGAAUAUUUGCUGAAUUAGAGCAGCCAGUAGUAGCAGAACCAGUGAUCUCUCUAGGUUUUUGUCUACCAAAUGUGACAUGAAAUUCUACCCUGUUGCUGAAAGACUUGUUCUGCUUGGGCCACUGUCUGCUUCCUCAGUUCUGGACAAUGAGGAAAUCUCUGAUCAAAGCAUCGGUGUUGGUCAAGGGUGGUCAUCCUGCAACACUACACGUCAGGAGGUGGAAGAACAAGACUUUCCAUUUGCAGGUUGUGUAUCCAUCUCAGCUGAAUCAAUUCUAGCAAUUAAUGACAAAGAAGAUGCAGGCAGCUAUACUCUACUCCAUGCUAACAGGAAGAUAAAUCCUUGGAAAGAAAAUUUAUUAUAUGCCACAUUCACAUCUCUCAUUACUUAGGAAAGUUUGAACUUUCUAGGACAGCCAAAAAAUUCUCGGUGUACCUUCAGGACAUAUUGAUACCACCAAAAAAGACAUAUGUCACAUGCACCACAUGUCACGAGCAAUGUUCCAGUUUCUUUGCUUACAUUAACAUCAAGUUAGGGAGAUUUAAGUAAUGUGAGUUGUAAUUUUUUGCUAUUUUAUUGACACUGAUUAAAAC
Molecule: long non-coding RNA, 913 nt
Filed under: Chinchilla lanigera (long-tailed chinchilla)
Lineage: Eukaryota; Metazoa; Chordata; Mammalia; Rodentia; Chinchillidae
Description: lncRNA (ENSCLAG00000022637.1)
Source: RNAcentral